Molecule: long non-coding RNA, 987 nt
Organism: Dermacentor albipictus
Lineage: Eukaryota; Metazoa; Arthropoda; Arachnida; Ixodida; Ixodidae
Source: RefSeq, a predicted model, not a curated record
UGUCAUGUUAACACGUGCCCUUACGGUACGAAGUGCGCAUGCUCAUAUUUGUAUCUGCCCCUAUAUAUGCAGCCCCUUGUGAGAUAAUAAAAACACUUUGUUCCCUACCUCCCGACCGUUCACAUGGUGUCAGAAGUGGGGCGGCGACGCAUUUCGCAAGCCGCGUUCACCGCUGUUUUUCCCCGCCCUCUCGUCCAGCUGCACCCCUAGUACACUCCAGAGAAAGAAGUAUGGCGUCAACGGUUCUACCACCGCCAAAGCCACUGGAAAGUACGGGUGACGCUUACCAGAACUGGAUCAUCUGGAAAACGCCCUGCUGGAGUGGCGAAACAUGCCAAGGGACAAGCAACUCAAGUCGCCCGCUCAAAGGUUGAUGGGUCGCCAAACAAGGACGCAGUUGCCGGUUCUUCCCCAGCACCUCGAACCGUAGACUGUGCCACCAGAAGCCGUUCGCAAUCGCCUCCAGGAAAUAAGAGAAAUGCAGUGGAUCUUCUACAACCGGACGGCCAAGCGUCUACCCCAUCUUCGCAGUGGGUCUCCAGUAUCAGUGUACGACACCAUACGCAGAACCUGGUCGCCAGCUGGGGUUGUAGGCCCUGCAGGCACACCUCGGUCGUACUAACCUACUUACAGACAGCGGACAAGUGCUGCGGCGCACCAGGGAGCAUCUCAGUUCCAAAGAAAUGCAACCUACGUCGAACCCUGAAGCUACAGUUUCUGCGGAGUCAGUAUCCCAGCCUGACCAGAUGGCGGAGCUACAACCUGAAGACACCCUUCGUAGAAGUAACCAUCUGCGUAGACCGCCACAACGUUUCCCCCUGCCAGAGAGACCGCAGCAUUAGGUCCCUGACAUGCGAAUUUGUAAAUUUUUUGUUCUUAUUUUUGUUUAUUUCGUACCCUUACGGUACGAAGUGCGCAUGCUCAUAUCUGUAUCUGUCCCUAUAUAUGCAGCCCCUAGUCAGAUAAUAAAAACACUUUGUUCCCUGC